RNAcentral lists this transfer RNA (71 nucleotides) under Hymenobacter sp. RNAcentral describes it as "tRNA-Trp". It matches the Rfam family "tRNA". From Rfam's summary of the family: Transfer RNA (tRNA) molecules are approximately 80 nucleotides in length. Their secondary structure includes four short double-helical elements and three loops (D, anti-codon, and T loops). Lineage: Bacteria; Pseudomonadati; Bacteroidota; Cytophagia; Cytophagales; Hymenobacteraceae. The record is from RNAcentral.
GGGGAAAUGGUGUAGUGGUAACACCCUAGACUCCAAACCUAGUAACGGGGGUUCGAUUCCCUCUUUCCUCG